GAUGAACGCUGGCGGCGUGCCUAAUACAUGCAAGUCGAGCGAACAGAUGAGAAGCUUGCUCCUCUGACGUUAGCGGCGGACGGGUGAGUAACACGUGGAUAACCUACCUAUAAGACUGGGAUAACUUCGGGAAACCGGAGCUAAUACCGGAUAAUAUAUUGAACCGCAUGGUUCAAUAGUGAAAGACGGUUUUGCUGUCACUUAUAGAUGGAUCCGCGCCGCAUUAGCUAGUUGGUAAGGUAACGGCUUACCAAGGCAACGAUGCAUAGCCGACCUGAGAGGGUGAUCGGCCACACUGGAACUGAGACACGGUCCAGACUCCUACGGGAGGCAGCAGUAGGGAAUCUUCCGCAAUGGGCGAAAGCCUGACGGAGCAACGCCGCGUGAGUGAUGAAGGUCUUCGGAUCGUAAAACUCUGUUAUUAGGGAAGAACAAAUGUGUAAGUAACUGUGCACGUCUUGACGGUACCUAAUCAGAAAGCCACGGCUAACUACGUG
This 497-nucleotide ribosomal RNA is filed under the name uncultured bacterium. RNAcentral describes it as "partial 16S ribosomal RNA". It matches the Rfam family "Bacterial small subunit ribosomal RNA", at positions 28 to 507 of the family's 1533-position model. The record is from RNAcentral.